This 301-nucleotide ribosomal RNA is filed under the name uncultured bacterium. Its description in RNAcentral is "partial 16S ribosomal RNA". It matches the Rfam family "Bacterial small subunit ribosomal RNA", at positions 509 to 807 of the family's 1533-position model. The record is from RNAcentral.
CAGUAGCCGCGGGAAUACAGAGGGUGCAAGCGUUAGUCGGAUUUACUGGGCGUAAAGGGCGCGUAGGUGGUUAUGUAAGUGAGAUGUGAAAUCCCCGGGCUCAACCUGGGAACUGCAUCUUAUACUGCGUAGCUGGAGUGCAGUAGAGGGUAGUGGAAUUUCCGGUGUAGCGGUGAGAUGCGUAGAUAUCGGAAGGAACACCAGUGGCGAAGGCGGCUACCUGGACUGACACUGACACUGAGGCGCGAAAGCGUGGGGAGCAAACAGGAUUAGAUACCCGGGUAGUCCCUGUCUCUUAUAC